UACGAAGGGUGCAAGCGUUACUCGGAAUUACUGGGCGUGAAGCGUGCGUAGGUGGUUCGUUAAGUCUGUCGUGAAAGCCCCGGGCUCAACCUGGGAACGGCGAUGGAUACUGGCGGGCUAGAGUGCGGUAGAGGAGAGUGGAAUUCCCGGAGUAGCAGUGAAAUGCGUAGAGAUUGGGAGGAACAUCAGUUGCGAAGGCGGCUCUCUGGACCAGCACUGACACUGAGGCACGAAAGCGUGGGGAGCAAACAGG
Molecule: ribosomal RNA, 253 nt
Filed under: uncultured bacterium
Lineage: Bacteria
Description: partial 16S ribosomal RNA
Rfam family: Bacterial small subunit ribosomal RNA
Source: RNAcentral